AGUGAACGCUGGCGGUAGGCCUAACACAUGCAAGUCGAACGGCAGCACAGUAAGAGCUUGCUCUUACGGGUGGCGAGUGGCGGACGGGAGAGGAAUACAUCGGAAUCUACUUUUUCGUGGGGGAUAACGUAGGGAAACUUACGCUAAUACCGCAUACGACCUACGGGUGAAAGCAGGGGAUCUUCGGACCUUGCGCGAUUGAAUGAGCCGAUGUCGGAUUAGCUAGUUGGCGGGGUAAAGGCCCACCAAGGCGACGAUCCGUAGCUGGUCUGAGAGGAUGAUCAGCCACACUGGAACUGAGACACGGUCCAGACUCCUACGGGAGGCAGCAGUGGGGAAUAUUGGACAAUGGGCGCAAGCCUGAUCCAGCCAUACCGCGUGGGUGAAGAAGGCCUUCGGGUUGUAAAGCCCUUUUGUUGGGAAAGAAAAGCAGCAGGUUAAGACCCCGCUGUUCUGACGGUACCCAAAGAAUAAGCACCGGCUAACUUCGU
This 491-nucleotide ribosomal RNA is filed under the name uncultured bacterium. RNAcentral's name for it is "partial 16S ribosomal RNA". It matches the Rfam family "Bacterial small subunit ribosomal RNA", at positions 29 to 506 of the family's 1533-position model. The record is from RNAcentral.